GAGGGUACGGUCCGAACCCCCACAUUGGGACUGAGACACGGCCCAAACUCCUACGGAAGGCAGCAG
Molecule: ribosomal RNA, 66 nt
Filed under: uncultured bacterium
Lineage: Bacteria
Description: partial 16S ribosomal RNA
Source: RNAcentral